Molecule: ribosomal RNA, 253 nt
Filed under: uncultured bacterium
Lineage: Bacteria
Description: partial 16S ribosomal RNA
Rfam family: Bacterial small subunit ribosomal RNA
Source: RNAcentral
UACGUAGGGUGCAGGCGUUAAUCGGAAUUACUGGGCGUAAAGCGUGCGCAGGCGGUUUGCUAAGACAGGUGUGAAAUCCCCGGGCUUAACCUGGGAACUGCGUCCGAUACUGGCAGGCUUGAAUUCGGGAGAGGGAUGUGGAAUUCCAGGUGUAGCGGUGAAAUGCGUAGAUAUCUGGAGGAACACCGGUGGCGAAGGCGGCAUCCUGGACCGAUAUUGACGCUGAUGCGCGAAAGCCAGGGGAGCAAACGGG